RNAcentral lists this ribosomal RNA (383 nucleotides) under Hemidactylus reticulatus. RNAcentral describes it as "partial 12S ribosomal RNA". It matches the Rfam family "Bacterial small subunit ribosomal RNA", at positions 786 to 1373 of the family's 1533-position model. Lineage: Eukaryota; Metazoa; Chordata; Lepidosauria; Squamata; Gekkonidae. The record is from RNAcentral.
CCCACUAUGCUUAGCAGUAAACCAAGACAUAACCCUAACCACCAUGUCCGCCAGAAGACUACAAGUGAUAAACUUGAAAUUCAAAGGACUUGACGGUGCCCCACAUCACCCUAGAGGAGCCUGUCCUAUAAUCGAUAACCCCCGCUAUACCCAACCUGCUCUAGAUUAACCACAGCCUAUAUACCGCCGUCUUCAGCCCACCUUGUGAAAGAAACCAAGUGGGCACAAUAGGAAACCCCCUAAAACGCCAGGUCAAGGUGUAGCUAAUGAGCAGGUAAGCGAUGGGCUACAUUGUCUAACUUAGAACCCCCGCCCGAGCCACGAACGUGACACCAAAAGACGGAUUUAGUAGUAAAUUAAACAAACCUGUUUAAUUGAAAUUU